This 325-nucleotide ribosomal RNA is filed under the name uncultured eukaryote. Its description in RNAcentral is "partial 18S ribosomal RNA". It matches the Rfam family "Eukaryotic small subunit ribosomal RNA", at positions 1470 to 1796 of the family's 1831-position model. The record is from RNAcentral.
CCCUUAGAUGUUCUGGGCCGCACGCGCGCUACACUGAUGCAUUCAACGAGUCUAAAACCUGCUCUGAUAGGGGUGGGUAAUCUUUUGAAUGUGCAUCGUGAUUGGGAUAGAUGAUUGAAAUUUUUCAUCUUCAACGAGGAAUGCCUAGUAAACGCGAGUCAUCAGCUCGCAUUGAUUACGUCCCUGCCCUUUGUACACACCGCCCGUCGCACCUACCGAUUGAAUGUUUCGGUGAAGAUUCCGGAUAGGACUUUUUUGAUUUAUUUCAAUUCUGUCUUAAAAGCUAUCUAAACCUCAACAUUUAGAGGAAGGUGAAGUCGUAACA